Molecule: long non-coding RNA, 942 nt
Organism: Bos taurus (domestic cattle)
Lineage: Eukaryota; Metazoa; Chordata; Mammalia; Artiodactyla; Bovidae
Source: Ensembl
UUGCAGAGGUUGAUGCUAACCUGACUGAACUCUAAAAGCAACCAAGAAGGCUUAAAAAAAAAAAAAAAAUCCUGGUGAUCUAUUUUGAGGAAAUCUGCUGGAGAAGUAAAAACGUAACUCUUUGAGUAGCAUCUGCAGCCCUGAUGGUUGUGUGCAAUGUAAGUGAAACAAAUCCUCCGUCCUGAGCUUCUCUACCCGGGAAAAACAAGGAGGAAACGGUCCAUCUUGCCUUUGUUUGCGGGGAAUUUCAGAAUUCCCAUCUCUGCUCUUUUAUUCUGUGCUCUUAGCCAAAGGCAAACCCUGAACCAUACACUAGAGGUCGCUGUUCAUUACGCUCCAACCUCAUCUUCAAGGUGGGUGGGGGAAGGGCUGACCGCCUCUCUUCUCCAUGUAGUGGGAGGAACCUGCAGGCUCCGGCGGCUGGGAAAUCUGUUUGGUCACACCCAGAGCAGGAUUAGUAAUAGUGGGUUUUACAACCCCAGGGUCCUAAAUGCAUCUGUAAUAGAUGGUCCAACAGGCAAGAAGCACGAACUGGCACCAUCACAAGGCCACAGGAGCCACAGCAGGAAGGGGGCCCCCCAGGCACUACAUAGCCAUGGGGAGGAACCCAGUACCACAAGGAUAAUUAACUCUGCCUGCAGAAGCCAGCCGUGGUAUAAACCAGUGGUUGUCAAACUGUGCUCCCCAGAGGUUCCAUGACAGAGUUGGAGAACAAGGAGAGGUGGGCACUGGACCUUCUCCUAUUCAAACAGAGCAGCUCUGAAGUUCUACGCUUCAUAGAAGCUUUUCCUUGGAAGAAGGGCAUCUGUGGUCCCCAACAUGCAAACCCAGCAGUGAACUUGGAAGGGCUCCAUCUUGGAAGGCAGGGCCUGGCUCUGUGGCCUUUGGCACAACAUUGACCUUGAAGACUCCCUGCCAUGGCUAGAAUUGAAAGCUUUAGAC